GGACUACUAGGGUAUCUAAUCCUGUUUGCUCCCCACGCUUUCGUGCCUCAGCGUCAGUAGUGGUCCAGAAAGCCGUCUACACCACCGGUGUUCCUCCUGAUAUCUACGCAUUUCACCGCUACACCAGGAAUUCCGCUUUCCUCUCCCACACUCGAGCCCGCCAGUUUCCGGCGCACCCUCCCGGUUAAGCCGGGAGAUUUCACACCAGACUUGGCGAACCGCCUACGCACUCUUUACGCCCAGUAACUCCGAACAACGCUUGCUGCCUACGUAUUACCGCGGCGGCUGGCAC
RNAcentral lists this ribosomal RNA (292 nucleotides) under uncultured Acidobacteriota bacterium. RNAcentral describes it as "uncultured Acidobacteria bacterium partial 16S ribosomal RNA". Lineage: Bacteria; Pseudomonadati; Acidobacteriota. The record is from RNAcentral.